Molecule: long non-coding RNA, 401 nt
Filed under: Carica papaya (papaya)
Lineage: Eukaryota; Viridiplantae; Streptophyta; Magnoliopsida; Brassicales; Caricaceae
Description: long non-coding RNA (CPAP_LNC006186)
Source: RNAcentral
AUCAUGGUACGAUCUAUGACCACGACCGUACCAAGCACUAUGGUCUUAUAAGAUAUUCUAUAGUCACAAUAGUACUUAGCCAAAUGUAACACCUAAUAGAUAUUCACAUCACUAUUCUUGUCAGAGGGUACACCGUCAUCCACAGGGAGCAGUCCUCUCACAUCUUUCCAAACCAGAUGGGGGAGGGAGAAACAGAUACCCCUCAAAGAUAAAAAGGCUAACGAGACACUUGAUAUAUUAGGCAUGUCAAUAUAGAUACAUAUAUUUCUCAGACCAUUCAGGCUCAUCCCUUUUCUCUUUCUUUCUUUUUCCCUUUUUUUUUUAUAUUUUUCAAGCAAAUAUCACUAAUUUCAUAUUAUUUAAUUUACAUGCAAAUCAUCAAGUGCAAAUAAAAUCACAUA